GAAACAAGAUGAAGUCACAGACCCCGUUCUUCCUAUCCCUGCUGCUUUGGGUGUCUGGUGCCUAUGCAGACAUCGUGAUGACUCAGUCUCCAUCUUCCCUGGCCGUGUCAGCAGGAGAGAAAGUCACCAUCAGCUGCAGGUCCAGUCAGAGUCUUUUAGACAGCACAGAACAAAAGAACUACUUGUCCUGGUACCAGCAGAAACCAGGGCAAUCCCCUAAGCUGCUGAUCUAUUGGGCAUCCACUCGGGACACUGGGGUCCCUGAUCACUUCACAGGCAGUGGAUCUGGGACAGAUUUCACUCUCAGUAUCAGCAGUGUGCAGGAUGAAGACCUGGCAGUUUAUUACUGUCUGCAGGAAUUUAGUACUCCUCCCACAGUGCUUCAGCCUCCAGCACAAACC
Non-coding RNA from Meriones unguiculatus (Mongolian gerbil), 401 nucleotides. The record is from the annotation of a RefSeq genome assembly. Lineage: Eukaryota; Metazoa; Chordata; Mammalia; Rodentia; Muridae.